AUACGGAGGGUGCAAGCGUUAUCCGGAUUCACUGGGUUUAAAGGGUGCGUAGGAGGGCAGGUAAGUCAGUGGUGAAAUCCCCGAGCUUAACUUGGGAACUGCCGUUGAUACUAUCUGUCUUGAAUAUUGUGGAGGUAAGCGGAAUAUGUCAUGUAGCGGUGAAAUGCUUAGAUAUGACAUAGAACACCAAUUGCGAAGGCAGCUUGCUACACAACUAUUGACUCUGAUGCACGAAAGCGUGGGGAUCAAACAGGAUUAGAUACCCUGGUAGUCCACGCCCUAAACGAUGGAUACUCGACAUCAGCGAUACACUGUUGGUGUCUGAGCGAAAGCAUUAAGUAUCCCACCUGGGAAGUACGACCGCAAGGUUGAA
Molecule: ribosomal RNA, 373 nt
Filed under: uncultured bacterium
Lineage: Bacteria
Description: bacterial SSU rRNA
Rfam family: Bacterial small subunit ribosomal RNA
Source: RNAcentral